RNAcentral lists this long non-coding RNA (809 nucleotides) under Zonotrichia albicollis (white-throated sparrow). Its description in RNAcentral is "lncRNA (ENSZALG00000011124.1)". Lineage: Eukaryota; Metazoa; Chordata; Aves; Passeriformes; Passerellidae. The record is from RNAcentral.
CUUUUCAAUAACUUCCAGACAGAAAAAAUUGGUAACUUUUUAGUGCGAAGCAGAAGGCAAGUGUCUGGCACUUUACAUCUCAGAAACUUCAGGAGAUAACUGGUAUCUCUACAUGCAGGUGAUUGGAUAAAGAUCAGCUUGGUCAAAGACAAACAACGAUGAGGACAAGGUACCAUCUCCAGUGCAACUUCUGUGAACUUCUGCAAGAAAGGAAUUGGAGUCCUGGCAGAGUGACCAGAAGUGUAACAUUCAGGAAAGGAAAAGCUUGGAGGAAGCCAGAUGACGCAUGCUGUGAUUGCCCAUGAGACUGGAGAAUGAGAAACCUGGAUUGGCUGGACAGGAUGGUGUCAAUUAAGCAUGUGGGAAGAUAUUUCCGGACACUGUCACAGCAUCUGAGGAACCAUAUUCCAGCUGUUCUCAGACUUUCCCAUUUCUGGAAGCCUGCCCCUCCUUCAGCUCCAACCACAAAUGUCCACACAAUAGAAAUCCAGUCAUUCUCCAAGAGGUCAGUCAAAGACUAACUAAAGAUUACCCCCGAAUGUCUCUGUUAUGUUUUCACUCCCAUCUAAGGACCUUUAGAAUCACAAAGUCAGGCAUGAACUCAUUAUCUCAAAGCAACACACCAACAUUUUUGUGAAUUUACCCUGAUAGAAUUGUGUGUUAAAGUCUUUCCCAAAGUUACUAAGGUCUUUAGCUCAGGCAUGUCCAAACUGAAAAUCAGGAUGUAAAAAAAAAUGCAAAAAAAAAAAAUUAAUAAGUCACAAACCCCCCAAAAUAAAGGAAUUAACUGGUUUUCUGUUCUCUUUAAA